CUAGCUGUAAACGAUGGAUACUAGGCGUUGAGAGUAUCGACCCUCUCAGUGUCGUAGCUAACGCGUUAAGUAUCCCGCCUGGGGAGUACGCGCGCAAGCGUGAAACUCAAAGGAAUUGACGGGGGCCCGCACAAGCGGUGGAGUAUGUGGUUUAAUUCGAUGCAACGCGAAGAACCUUACCAGGGCUUGACAUGUCCGGAACCCUGCCCAAAGGCAGGGGUGCCUACGGGAACCGGAACACAGGUGGUGC
This 250-nucleotide ribosomal RNA is filed under the name uncultured Chroococcidiopsis sp. Its description in RNAcentral is "partial 16S ribosomal RNA". It matches the Rfam family "Bacterial small subunit ribosomal RNA", at positions 796 to 1044 of the family's 1533-position model. Lineage: Bacteria; Bacillati; Cyanobacteriota; Cyanophyceae; Chroococcidiopsidales; Chroococcidiopsidaceae. The record is from RNAcentral.